Molecule: unclassified non-coding RNA, 21 nt
Filed under: Chlamydomonas reinhardtii
Lineage: Eukaryota; Viridiplantae; Chlorophyta; Chlorophyceae; Chlamydomonadales; Chlamydomonadaceae
Description: small RNA Cre_3366
Source: RNAcentral
UGGGCAAGGGCGGCGUGGCGA